UACGGAGGAUCCAAGCGUUAUCCGGAUUUAUUGGGUUUAAAGGGUGCGUAGGCGGCCUGUUAAGUCAGGGGUGAAAGACGGUAGCUCAACUAUCGCAGUGCCCUUGAUACUGAUGGGCUUGAAUGUACUAGAGGUAGGCGGAAUGUGACAAGUAGCGGUGAAAUGCAUAGAUAUGUCACAGAACACCAAUUGCGAAGGCAGCUUACUAUGGUGUGAUUGACGCUGAGGCACGAAAGCGUGGGGAUCAAACAGG
Molecule: ribosomal RNA, 253 nt
Filed under: uncultured bacterium
Lineage: Bacteria
Description: partial 16S ribosomal RNA
Rfam family: Bacterial small subunit ribosomal RNA
Source: RNAcentral